AAUUAGACUGGCAGCCAGUGUAAUUUAUAGUGAUGCCUUGAUGUAAUGUGUUUCCUUUUAACAAAUGAACUCAAAUGUUCCUUUGUCCCAAAUGUUUGUGCUAACAGCCCAUUUAGAGGAGAGGUUUCUCUGAGCAUAGUUACGCUGCUGAGACAUUUCCGUUGCAAUGUUCUAGAUUUCUCUGACAUGGCCCCAUUGCUGGUUCCAACUUUGUGAUUAAGCAACAUGGAGCCUUCGAUUUCUAAAGCCAUCUUCAAGAUUCAUGUCAGAGGUAAAAGUUUGUCUGUGGGGAAGGCUUUCAAAUUCUUCUGGACCUGAACCAAAUAAGGAAAACUGUUACAUUCUGUGACACUGUGCAGUUACCAUGUACUUCCAAGGGAUGUUGGAGAUAUACUCCUCAUUGCAGAUGGGAGAGAUGAAAUGAUAACAGGCUGAACAAAAAAAGGAAGCAGGCUGGGUUUGGCUCCUGAAUUAUGAUUUUCCCACAUUCGUUCCAUCAGCGACACAUGAGUGUAUCACAAUCAGUUUUAAAUUAUACUGCCAGUAACUUACUCCUGGUCAAUUGUAAAAAUAUCAGUUAGUGCCUAAUUUGUUUUUAUAAUAAUUCAGAAUUGAUUUAUUACUAUAAAUAAAUGGCAUAAUGGCAUUUCCAUGCGCUUAUAUUCUAUUUGAAGUGGCAGUAAAGUACAGAGCUGAUAAGCUACAGUUUUGUUUUACCUAAGCUGUGGCAAUCGUGAACCAUUUUAUUGUUGAACUGCCCUUCAUGGUGGGAAUUUCGAUGCUUCAGAGUAAUUUAUUUCCCUGUAGAAAUUUAUCAAAAUAUGCCACACCCAUGGGAAUUUUACACAUGGUAUGCAUCCUCUAUAUGAGGGAAAAAUGUUUGAGGGCCAGUGCACUAGGCCAAAUCCUGAGAUGUACAUACUUUGUUGCUGUAUAUACUUGUAUAUCCUUGUACUCUAAACAGAAUUGAUUUUGUUCAGCGAGCAGUUUGAUUGUUCGCAGUGUGUUUAUAUAUAUAUAUAAUAUAUAUAUUUGUACAUACAUGAUGGGAUGGGGUGUGAGUAUAUUUAUACAUAAAUGUAUAUAUAUAAACACACCACAGGGAUUUUAAGAUCUUUGUCAGGAUUGUUUCUGUUUUUGAUUCCUUGACCAUUUUAAAACCCAAGAGAUAAAACAUUAUGUAUGUUACAGGCAAAUGUGCACUUGAGUUUAUAGCAAUUUAGUUUGUAUAUAGGAAUUCCUGCAUCUUUAGUUGAGCCUUGCCUCUUCCACUGAAUAUUAUAUGAGUUGUUAUGAACAUAUGAAGUGCUGGGCAUGGUGGCGUACACAUGUAACCCCAGCAGUUGGGAGGCUGAGACAGGAGGAUUGCCUAGAGUUCAAGGCCAGCCUGCACUACAUAGCGAGACUCUGUCUCCAAAAAAAAAGAACAUAUGAAGUAUCAUCCUCGAAUUUGAGUUUUCUAUACUGUUAGUUAAGAAACCAUGAUUAAUAUUGGCCGAGCCAUUGGCAUAUUAAUGGAAUCUAUAUACUCUUCAUAGUUAAUUAGAUUCUUUAUUUAGUUAGCAGAUUACUUAGUUUCAAGUUGUUCUUCUCUAUUUUUAUGUUUAACAGAUGACUUGCAUGUAAGUUUCUUUUCAUGAAAAUGAUAGCUAGGCUAAUGUGAUUUUAAAUUUACCUGGAAACCAAGGAUUUAUGUGAUACAUUAAGCUUUUUUGGGAUUCUUUUGGUUAAAAUACACUGAUGUUUAGUGAAGUUUUGUUUUGUCUCACUAUGUUCUAUUGAGUGAAUAACCAUUCAGUUUGAUUCUUCUGGAGAGUAAUCAGUUCUCUAAGGUUUUGGGGUGCUCGGUGGGUGUGGCAUUCACCCAGGUCACUCGAGUCCUUACUGUUUCAUCACCUAGAAUGUCCUGGUUGCAUGGAAAAGUGAACACAGCUUCCCCAUAUGCCUUAUUCCCACUGACGUGUUGAUAUACUGGAACACUCUGGCUCCAGGAGUAUUACACUUUUUUGAGACUGUCUAUAAAUACUAUUUUGUAAAAACUAUGCCUUUAAAUAGACAUUAAUGGGUUAUAUUUGUUUUAUAAUAAUUGCGUACCUAAUGUUCAAUUGUGAUUGAUUUUUGAGAUUAUAUAUAAAUGUAUAUUUAUAAGCCUGUCUAUGUGAAUUUUUACUCUAAGAUGUGUAGUACAUUACUAAUAAAGACAUGGAUUUCUAUUUAUGCAAAACAAUUGUAGCAAUAUUCCUAAAUGCUACCUAAAUGAUUGUUCUGUCCAUUUACCAUCAUAAAUGCAUUUAUCUUUAAAUGAUUAUGUUAUAGUUAGAAUGUAUUAUCUAGAUUUAAACUUUAGAAUAUAAAUUCUCAACAUAGUUUGAAUUCUUC
Heterocephalus glaber (naked mole-rat) is the source of this 2379-nucleotide long non-coding RNA. Lineage: Eukaryota; Metazoa; Chordata; Mammalia; Rodentia; Bathyergidae. The record is from Ensembl.